AUUGAACGCUGGCGGCAUGGGUAAAACAAGAAAGUCGAACGAGAAAGCACUUCGGUGCGAGUACCCUGGCGAAAGGGCGAGUAACGCGUGCCUUACGUACCCCUGAGUGCGGGAUAGCUGUUGGAAACGACAGGUAAUACCGCAUAAUCUCCUUCGGGAGCAAAGAUUUAUCGCUCAGGGAUCGGGGUGCGUCCUAUCAGCUAGUUGGGGAGGUAAAGGCUCACCAAGGCAGAGACGGGUAGCGGGUGUGAGAGCACGGCCCGCCGCAUCGGGACUGAGACACUGCCCGGACUCCUACGGGAGGCUGCAGUAACGAAUAUUCCGCAAUGCGCGAAAGCGUGACGGACCAAUGCCGCGUGUAGGAUGAACCCUCUAGGGGUGUAAACUACUGUCAGGGACUAGGAAUUUUGACCAACCCCAAAGGAAGAGCCGGCUAACUCUGUGCCAACAGCCGCGGUAAUACAGAGGGCUCAAGCGUUAAUCGGAAUCACUGGCCUUAAACGGUCCGCAGGCGGAUCGGUAAAGUAUCUUGUGAAAUCCUCAGGGCUCACCCCUGAAAUUGCUCGAUAAACUGCCCGAUCCUUGACCAUACCUAGAGGUUACCAGAACCCCUAGGUGGGAGCGGGUGAAAUGCGUAGAUAUCUAUGGGAAUUGCCGACGGAAAAAGUCAGGUUAACUGGGGGUAUUGCUGACGCUCAGGGACAACAGCGUAAGGUAGCGAACGGGAUUAGAUACCCCCGGUAGUCUAACGCCCGUAAACGAGUGCGCACUAAAUCGUGGGAGGUUUUUGACACCAUCGC
Molecule: ribosomal RNA, 800 nt
Filed under: uncultured bacterium
Lineage: Bacteria
Description: bacterial SSU rRNA
Rfam family: Bacterial small subunit ribosomal RNA
Source: RNAcentral